Molecule: ribosomal RNA, 253 nt
Filed under: uncultured bacterium
Lineage: Bacteria
Description: partial 16S ribosomal RNA
Rfam family: Bacterial small subunit ribosomal RNA
Source: RNAcentral
UACAGAGGGGGCAAGCGUUGUUCGGAAUUACUGGGCGUAAAGGGCGCGUAGGCGGCCGUCUAAGUCAGACGUGAAAUCCCUCGGCUCAACCGGGGAACUGCGUCUGAUACUGGGUGGCUUGAAUUCGGGAGAGGGAUGCGGAAUUCCAGGUGUAGCGGUGAAAUGCGUAGAUAUCUGGAGGAACACCGGUGGCGAAGGCGGCAUCCUGGACCGAGAUUGACGCUGAGGCGCGAAAGCCAGGGGAGCAAACGGG